GGGAAGUGGGCGCGGCCCGCGGGAGCGCCGGGCCCGUGAGGGGGAAGACGGAGGGAGCGGGAGAAAGAUCGUGCUGAGCUUCAAGGACCUGCCAGGACCUGACCCCAGAGCACCAAACUGCACAGCUGGACCCCAAAACUGCACAGCUGCACCCCAAAAUGCACAGCUGGACCCCAAAAUGCACAGCUGGACCCCAAAACUGCACAGCUGGACCCCGAAAUGUGCACCUGGACCCCAAAAUGCACAGCUGGACCCCGAAAUGUGCACCUGAACCCCGAAAUGCACAGCUGGACCCCAAAAUGCACACCUGGACCCCAAAACUGCACAGCUGGACCCCAAAAUGCACAGCUGAACCCCAAAAUGCACAGCUGGACCCCAAAACUGCACAGCUGGACCCAAAACUGCACAGCUGGACCCCAAAAUGUGCACCUGGACCCCAAAACUGCACACCUGAACCCCAAAACUGCACAGCUGGACCCCAAAAUGCACACCUGGACACCAAAACUGCACAGCUGGACCCCAAAUGUGCACCUGGACCCCAAAUAUGCACCUGGACCCCAAAACUGCCCAACUGGACCCCAAAUGUGCACCUGGACCCCAAAACUGCCCAGCUGGACCCUGAAAUGCACACCUGGACCCCAAAACUGCACAGCUGGACCCCAAAAUGCACAGCUGAACCCCAAAAUGCACAGCUGGACCCCAAAACUGCACAGCUGGACCCCAAAAUGCGCACCUGGACCCCAAAACUGCACAGCUGGACCCCAAAAUGCACAGCUGGACCCCAACAUGCACAGCUGGACCCCAAAACUGCACAGCUGGACCCCAAAAUGCGCACCUGGACCCCAAACUGCAGACCUGAACCCCAAAACUGCACAGCUGGACCCCAAAAUGCACACCUGGACACCAAAACUGCCCAGCUGGACCCCAAAUGUGCACCUGGACCCCAAAACUGCACAGCUGGACCCUGAAAUGCACACCUGAACCCCAAAAUGCACACCUGGACCCCAAAAUGCACAGCUGGACCCCAAAAUGUGCACCUGGACCCCAAAAUGCACAGCUGGACCCCAAAAUGCACACCUGGACCCCAAAAUGUGCACCUGGACACCAAAACUGCACAGCUGGACCCCAAAAUGCACAGCUGGACCCCAAAACUGCACAGCUGGACCCCAAAAUGUGCACCUGGACCCCAAAAUGCACAGCUGGACCCCAAAAUGCACAGCUGCACCCCAAAAUCCUAUCAAACACCCCAUAAAGCCUGAACCCCCAAACCUGGAGGUACCCGAAGUGCACCUGAACCCGAGGGGGUUCGGGACCCCCGUGUUUGGGGUUUUGGAGUGUCCCUGGUCGUGGCCCCACUUUUGGGGUUCUCCCAGGGCUGUCACCCCCUGUUUUAGGGGUUUUGGGGUUCGCAGAGCUGUGACCCCCCAUUUUUGGGGUUUUGGGGUGUCCCUGGGUGGUGUUUGGGGACCCCAGGGCUGUGACCCCUCCUUUUGGGGUUUUGGGGUGUCCCAGGGCAGUGACUCCCCUGUUUUAACCCCCCCAGAUGGAAGCCCCCCCCCCUUUGUCCCCAAAUGGGGGUCCCCAAAACCGGGAGGGGGUCCCCAAAAUCCCCUGAAGGGGCCCCAACCCCCCAAGGUUUCGUUGUAAAAGAGUUUGGGACAAAUCAAUAAAGUUUGGGGGAAAAUCCGAA
Molecule: long non-coding RNA, 1690 nt
Organism: Melospiza melodia melodia
Lineage: Eukaryota; Metazoa; Chordata; Aves; Passeriformes; Passerellidae
Exons: 2
Source: RefSeq, a predicted model, not a curated record